Molecule: transfer RNA, 74 nt
Filed under: Flavobacterium sp. KMS
Lineage: Bacteria; Pseudomonadati; Bacteroidota; Flavobacteriia; Flavobacteriales; Flavobacteriaceae
Also listed under: 1 other name
Description: tRNA-Ser
Rfam family: tRNA
About the family: Transfer RNA (tRNA) molecules are approximately 80 nucleotides in length. Their secondary structure includes four short double-helical elements and three loops (D, anti-codon, and T loops). Further hydrogen bonds mediate the characteristic L-shaped molecular structure. tRNAs have two regions of fundamental functional importance: the anti-codon, which is responsible for specific mRNA codon recognition, and the 3' end, to which the tRNAs corresponding amino acid is attached (by aminoacyl-tRNA synthetases). tRNAs cope with the degeneracy of the genetic code in two manners: having more than one tRNA (with a specific anti-codon) for a particular amino acid; and 'wobble' base-pairing, i.e. permitting non-standard base-pairing at the 3rd anti-codon position.
Source: RNAcentral
AAGGUGUUAGCUCAAUUGGAAGAGCGUCUGUUUGCUAAACAGAUGGAUGCAGGUUCGAGUCCUCGCACACCUUU